AGGGAGAGGUGCUUGCACCUCGAACUUAGCGGCGGACGGGUGAGGAACGCGUGGGUAACCUGCCCUAUACAGGGGGAUAACACAGAGAAAUCUGUGCUAAAACCGCAUAAGCCUACAGUACCGCAUGGUACAGCAGGAAAAACUCAGGUGGUAUAGGAUGGGCCCGCGUCUGAUUAGCUAGUUGGAGAGGUAACGGCUCACCAAGGCGACGAUCAGUAGCCGGUCUGAGAGGAUGGACGGCCACAAUGGAACUGAGACACGGUCCAUACUCC
RNAcentral lists this ribosomal RNA (272 nucleotides) under uncultured Eubacteriales bacterium. RNAcentral describes it as "uncultured Clostridiales bacterium partial 16S ribosomal RNA". It matches the Rfam family "Bacterial small subunit ribosomal RNA", at positions 69 to 339 of the family's 1533-position model. The record is from RNAcentral. Lineage: Bacteria; Bacillati; Bacillota; Clostridia; Eubacteriales.